UUAAAUUGAAGAGUUUGAUCAUGGCUCAGAUUGAACGCUGGCGGCAGGCCUAACACAUGCAAGUCGAACGGUAACAGGAAGCAGCUUGCUGCUUUGCUGACGAGUGGCGGACGGGUGAGUAAUGUCUGGGAAACUGCCUGAUGGAGGGGGAUAACUACUGGAAACGGUGGCUAAUACCGCAUAACGUCGCAAGACCAAAGAGGGGGACCUUCGGGCCUCUUGCCAUCAGAUGUGCCCAGAUGGGAUUAGCUUGUUGGUGAGGUAACGGCUCACCAAGGCGACGAUCCCUAGCUGGUCUGAGAGGAUGACCAGCCACACUGGAACUGAGACACGGUCCAGACUCCUACGGGAGGCAGCAGUGGGGAAUAUUGCACAAUGGGCGCAAGCCUGAUGCAGCCAUGCCGCGUGUAUGAAGAAGGCCUUCGGGUUGUAAAGUACUUUCAGCGGGGAGGAAGGUGUUGUGGUUAAUAACCGCAGCAAUUGACGUUACCCGCAGAAGAAGCACCGGCUAACUCCGUGCCAGCAGCCGCGGUAAUACGGAGGGUGCAAGCGUUAAUCGGAAUUACUGGGCGUAAAGCGCACGCAGGCGGUCUGUCAAGUCGGAUGUGAAAUCCCCGGGCUCAACCUGGGAACUGCAUUCGAAACUGGCAGGCUUGAGUCUUGUAGAGGGGGGUAGAAUUCCAGGUGUAGCGGUGAAAUGCGUAGAGAUCUGGAGGAAUACCGGUGGCGAAGGCGGCCCCCUGGACAAAGACUGACGCUCAGGUGCGAAAGCGUGGGGAGCAAACAGGAUUAGAUACCCUGGUAGUCCACGCCGUAAACGAUGUCUACUUGGAGGUUGUGCCCUUGAGGCGUGGCUUCCGGAGCUAACGCGUUAAGUAGACCGCCUGGGGAGUACGGCCGCAAGGUUAAAACUCAAAUGAAUUGACGGGGGCCCGCACAAGCGGUGGAGCAUGUGGUUUAAUUCGAUGCAACGCGAAGAACCUUACCUGGUCUUGACAUCCACGGAAGUUUUCAGAGAUGAGAAUGUGCCUUCGGGAACCGUGAGACAGGUGCUGCAUGGCUGUCGUCAGCUCGUGUUGUGAAAUGUUGGGUUAAGUCCCGCAACGAGCGCAACCCUUAUCCUUUGUUGCCAGCGGUCCGGCCGGGAACUCAAAGGAGACUGCCAGUGAUAAACUGGAGGAAGGUGGGGAUGACGUCAAGUCAUCAUGGCCCUUACGACCAGGGCUACACACGUGCUACAAUGGCGCAUACAAAGAGAAGCGACCUCGCGAGAGCAAGCGGACCUCAUAAAGUGCGUCGUAGUCCGGAUUGGAGUCUGCAACUCGACUCCAUGAAGUCGGAAUCGCUAGUAAUCGUGGAUCAGAAUGUCACGGUGAAUACGUUCCCGGGCCUUGUACACACCGCCCGUCACACCAUGGGAGUGGGUUGCAAAAGAAGUAGGUAGCUUAACCUUCGGGAGGGCGCUUACCACUUUGUGAUUCAUGACUGGGGUGAAGUCGUAACAAGGUAACCGUAGGGGAACCUGCGGUUGGAUCACCUCCUUACCUUAAAGAA
RNAcentral lists this ribosomal RNA (1554 nucleotides) under Salmonella enterica subsp. enterica serovar Paratyphi A str. ATCC 11511. RNAcentral's name for it is "bacterial SSU rRNA". It matches the Rfam family "Bacterial small subunit ribosomal RNA". Lineage: Bacteria; Pseudomonadati; Pseudomonadota; Gammaproteobacteria; Enterobacterales; Enterobacteriaceae. The record is from RNAcentral.